CUAAUUCCAACUCAUACUUGUAUUCAGUGCUAGAUUUUUUUAUGAUAUUUUCCUGAUGUGUGUAACUGUGAGAGUAAUCUCUAGAGCUCAAUCUUCAUGUAUACUUGUAUUCAGUGCUAGAUUUUUUUAUGAUAUUUUCCUGAUGUGUGUAACUGUGAGAGUAAUCUCUAGAGCUCAAUCUUCAUGUAUUUAAGAAAAGAGUAAUCUCAGGAUUACAUCUUUGAUUUCAUUCU
RNAcentral lists this long non-coding RNA (233 nucleotides) under Trifolium pratense (red clover). RNAcentral's name for it is "long non-coding RNA (TPRA_LNC003440)". Lineage: Eukaryota; Viridiplantae; Streptophyta; Magnoliopsida; Fabales; Fabaceae. The record is from RNAcentral.